AAUAGAUACCCCGGUAGUCCACGCUGUAAACGGUGGGUACUAGGUGUGGGGUCCAUUCCACGGGUUCCGCGCCGUAGCUAACGCUUUAAGUACCCCGCCUGGGGAGUACGGCCGCAAGGCUAAAACUCAAAGGAAUUGACGGGGCCCCGCACAAGCGGCGGAGCAUGCGGAUUAAUUCGAUGCAACGCGUAGAACCUUACCUGGGUUUGACAUGGAUCGGGAGUGCUCAGAGAUGGGUGUGCCUCUUUUGGGGUCGGUUCACAGGUGGUGCAUGGCUGUCGUCAGCUCGUGUCGUGAGAUGUUGGGUUAAGUCCCGCAACGAGCGCAACCCUUGUUCACUGUUGCCAGCACGUUAUGGUGGGGACUCAGUGGAGACCGCCGGGGUCAACUCGGAGGAAGGUGGGGAUGACGUCAAGUCAUCAUGCCCCUUAUGUCCAGGGCUUCACGCAUGCUACAAUGGCUGGUACAGAGAGUGGCGAGCCUGUGAGGGUGAGCGAAUCUCGGAAAGCCGGUCUCAGUUCGGAUUGGGGUCUGCAACUCCG
This 542-nucleotide ribosomal RNA is filed under the name uncultured bacterium. RNAcentral's name for it is "bacterial SSU rRNA". It matches the Rfam family "Bacterial small subunit ribosomal RNA", at positions 777 to 1314 of the family's 1533-position model. The record is from RNAcentral.